RNAcentral lists this unclassified non-coding RNA (4108 nucleotides) under Hevea brasiliensis (rubber tree). The record is from RNAcentral. Lineage: Eukaryota; Viridiplantae; Streptophyta; Magnoliopsida; Malpighiales; Euphorbiaceae.
UCUUUUUUUUUUUUUUUUUUUGUCUAAUUGGCUCCGACUGGGACUCCACCUCGAGAUUUCACAGCCCUAGAGAUAACUCCAGUACCACUAAGCUGAAGCUCAUUGAUAUUAUUAGCAAUAAAUUUCAAUUUAUUAAAAAAUUAUGCGUGUCUUUUGCCCAUCUUUACUAUUUAUUUCACAAGUAGCACCUGUACACUGGACCACAACUAUAACACCCAAAGAAUAUCACAAACAACACAAGCCCACCUCGUACCCAUCAUGAUGAGUUAUAGACAGUGGCAAAGGCAAGAAGCUUGGUCAAUGGGAGCAAAUAUACGAGUCUAGUUUAUCAAUAACAGGUAUAUGUACAUCAAUAAUAGCAAAGCCACUUUUCAAUAUAGAUUAAUCAAUUGAGCAAUAGAAAGGCAUAAUACAAAAAAGAUAAACUGGAUUUGCACCCCCAGCUUUUACAAUUAUCCAUAGCUAGUGAAUUUCUUUGAUCAUUAACUUAUUCAUAAUAGGUUCGAAGAAAUAUUUUGAUUAAACUUACUUAAAUAUAGUAAAGGAAAUUUCUUGCCCACACAAAGGUAUAUGGCCCCAUUUCAUAUAACCAAUAAAGAAUUACCUUAAGAAAAAAUUAGGUGGGACCUAGCAUAAUUUUAGGUAUCAAAAUGUUUUCAUCUUAUCAUUCAUGGAUUGGGUGGGUAUAUAUUCACCCGAGUGUAGAGAAGAAUAACUUUACAUUAAAUCCAUCAUAAUCAUAUGAAAAUAAACAAAUAAAACAAAUUUAUACUUUUUCUAUGCAUUACAUAUUAUAUUCUGAUCCUCAGGACAAACAAAUCAUCAAUCAAUUAAAAAUAUAAAUUUAGAAACAAAAAAUAAUCAAAUUAAGUUUCCAAUUUUGGUACUUACAUGGUCAAUUGUUUCUUUGUUCCACCCAAAUUGUUAUAAGACAUUAUUACGUCAGUGAAAUUUCAUAGGUUUAUAGAGAUAACAACAAAUAAAACAUUGUCAUAUCAGAUAGGUUAAAUGAGGAGAUUAAAAGAAGUGGGAUGAUGAUAAUUUUUUUCAGGUUCUUUAUUUUUGCUUUAUACAUAAAUUAAGAGCCUCAGCUAAUGGCAAUAAUACCAAGCUGCAAAUUGAUUAAAAAGAACUGAGCCACAAUAUUUUCCAACAAAUUAAAAGUACUCAUUUCAUUGGAAGGAAAAAAAAUCAAUUACAAGAGAAAAUAAAAACAUUAAAAUAGUUAUUUUUAAAGGAUUAAAGAAAAGCUUCAACUUUGUUUUAUUAAUCUGUCUUAGGUCUCUUAUUCAAACCAAAAGCGUUAAUCUGUUAACUUUUCAUUUUAUUUUAAUUUCUAUUCUUAGAUGUCCUUAAUGCACAAAUUUUAUAUAUUAUCUGGUGCAUUAAGUUUUCAAUGGUUGAUCUAAGUUUAACUGAUUUGAAUAGUUAAGUCAGAAUUCUAGAGGGGGCAAGGAAAACAUUUUUACUUAUUUAGAAAGGAUCUCAAAGGUUUUCGAAAUUCUACUGAAGGUGGCCCCGCUGGAUUUGUGCUAUCUCCACCCCUAAAUUUAGACCCCACACAGGGGUUUACUCUAGGUUAAGUCAUUAUAUCAAAACAAAAUAGAACAAACUCCCAAAAGCUUCUAGAGAAAGGUAUGAAGAAAGAAAAUGACAACAAGAGGCUAAUAAGCAAAUCUACCAAACAAGAAGGCAGACAAUCUCAAUAUUUACAUUCUUAGAAGAGACAUAUCUGCUUUGACAAGAUUUGUCCGACAAUUUAUCGUACUACCCGAGGAUAUCCAAUUAGCAAGGUAAAAAGGCAAAAAAGAACCAUUACAUGCAUCUAAAUUGUUGCAAAUUUCCAUGGUCCAAAACAAAAUAUUCCAAUAAUAGGUAAAUAACGAGGUAAUCAACACCAUAAAUUUGCUUUAAAUUAUGAUGGAAUAGAAUGGCUAAAGCCUAAAAACCUCCCGCAUCAGAAGAGUCUCAUGGAAAGAUAACUCUCUACGGUAAAGAACCAUCAGCAUUCGGAAUGCAAAAUGGAGGCUUUCAGCACCUAUAUGUGACAAGUGUGCAAACAUUUCCCUAUCUGUGAGUUCCAAAAUGUGCCACAAUGCUUGCAACUGCUUCAUCACUCCAGUUGGUCCUUCCAUCUGAAAAUUUUCACGCAUUCUCCUCAGAACCAUCUCAAAACACCAAAAUGCAUCAGCAUUAUCCUCAAAGAGAACAACAAAAGGAGACAGCAAAUCACUCCUUCCUUGACAGUAACCAGUGGCAGGAUCAACCCAUGCAUAGACAGCAAGGAUAUCAGACAUCCUAGCUAAAUUUUUCUUAUCCUCAUAGAAUUCAAGAUGACUAUCUGUUCGUACCACAUCAACAACGAUUCGAUGCAGAGUCCAAAGCCAUUCAGAUACCCUGUCAUCGCUGGUAGCCCCUCCUUGAGAAGCUGCAUUUAACAAUGGUGUUUCUGGCGCAUCUGAUAUUCUCAAUCUGUUCACUAUUUCUUUUUCAUAAUCCUGAUUAUUAGACCCCACUACUGGCUUGUGAUCAUCAUCACGAACUAUUUCAAUUUCAGAGUUUAAAUCUAUAUUGUUAUCAAUUUGAAAACUGUGCAUUCUGUUAUCUUGUAAUCUUGUAUUUUGUUGUCUAGAACGUUCAAAAUCAUGCACACUACAUUCUUCCGCAUUUUUUCCUCCCCGAUCAAAUAAAUCCCUGACAGGUAAAGGAGAAAAAACAAAAUAACUCUCUGCUACAUAUUGUGAUUCAUGAGCCUCACCCUCUCUUUCAGGAGAACCACUAUUGUAUGGGCCAGAAGCAGGUAAAAAACAAGAUGAAUCAUAGGCUGCGCUGUUUGUGCUUCCCCUCACACUAUCAAGCUCACCAGAAUCACUAGAACUUUCCCUUUCACAUGCAUAUGAUUUUUCUGUACAAUUAUUAUUCCAAUCACUAUAAUUCUCUAAUUUGUUAGCAGUAUCAAUAGAAGCUUGUCUACUUUUGACUUUAGCUUCCCCUCUCCUUUCAUCCUUCGAUGACAUUCUUAUAUCCAUAACUUUGGACCCUACAACAUAUGCUAAUAUACCAGUUCCUACACUUGAAUGCAUCAUUUGACAUUGCUUGGUCAGGUCCUUGUAGAGCUCCCUUCGGGCUGUCCUCAGCUGCCUUCAGUACUCAGCAGUGCUGCCUAGUGCACAACAGCCAAGCAGAAAUUCCCAAACUUCUGCCCUUAUUGCUGGAUCCACACCCUAUCACAUAUAGCAAAUAAGGUCAUUACUCAUUAUAAUUAUAUAGAAGUCAAAGGAACUAUUUGCAUCAACUUUUAGGGUAGCAGGAAGAGGAGGUCAUUGAGGCAUUAAAUCAAAAAAUUUAAAUGCAUAAUGGAGCAUAAAACUUACCCUAAUAACAAGAGCAGGUGAAUGAACAAACAUUCAAAAGGAUAAUGCAACAUAAAGCUACAACAUUUAAAUAAAACUUGCAAGUUGCAACUGCAGACAAAGUUAAAGUGUUAAACAACUUGAAAAGCAAGAAAAAUCCUAUAAUCCUAAAGCACAUAUAACAGGUAUGCCAUGUUGAGGUUGAGCAUCAUUCUAAAGGUGAAUAAAACAUAUGCAAAUUUCAACAAGUAGCAGCUCAAACAUGUUUGGCCUCCAACAACAACUUCUUAAUAAGUAGUCUAAUAAAAAAGGUUCCUAAAUCCUAACCCUUCAACAAAAUGAGUGACAAUAUAAAUACAAAUAAACCAAGAGGAGAAAUUAAUUGUAAAAGAUUGCUUUUAGAGGACAAUAUCAAACUAUUCAGAGCCAUGACAAAGAUUAUCAGCAUUUUAGUAUAUUGAGAAAAAAAGUCAAAAACAUGUGGUUUAGUGCUACUUCAUUUUGGGGACUCUGGUUCUUUUUGUAUCAAUUUACUAACAGAGAUUUUUAAAUGUUAUCAUUUCUAAUAUAAUUUUUAGCUAACAUCAAUAAAAUGAUACUUAGUGCUUUUAUGACAUAAAAUAACAAACGAGUUUGAGUAUUGUCCGUGUGGCACCUAUGUGGACAACCAAGUGGCAUCACAUCAACACCACAUAAUAAUUCUUUUUAUUCUAAAAAAAAUAAAAUAUAUAAAACACAAGUUUACUACAUAUAUA